Molecule: ribosomal RNA, 252 nt
Filed under: uncultured bacterium
Lineage: Bacteria
Description: partial 16S ribosomal RNA
Rfam family: Bacterial small subunit ribosomal RNA
Source: RNAcentral
UACGUAGGGGGCUAGCGUUAUCCGGAAUUACUGGGCGUAAAGGGUACGUAGGUGGUUUCUUAAGUCAGAGGUGAAAGGCUACGGCUCAACCGUAGUAAGCCUUUGAAACUGGGGAACUUGAGUGCAGGAGAGGAGAGUGGAAUUCCUAGUGUAGCGGUGAAAUGCGUAGAUAUUAGGAGGAACACCAGUUGCGAAGGCGGCUCUCUGGACUGUAACUGACACUGAGGCACGAAAGCGUGGGGAGCAAACAGG